UCGAGGAUCUUCGGCAAUGGGCGCAAGCCUGACCGAGCGACGCCGCGUGUGCGAUGAAGGCCUUCGGGUUGUAAAGCACUGUCGAGGGGGAGGAAGCCGCAAGGUUGACCUAUCCCUGGAGGAAGCACGGGCUAAGUUCGUGCCAGCAGCCGCGGUAAGACGAACCGUGCGAACGUUGUUCGGAAUCACUGGGCUUAAAGGGCGCGUAGGCGGGCCGGCAAGUCCGGGGUGAAAGCCCCCAGCUCAACUGGGGAAGUGCCUUGGAAACUACCCGUCUUGAGGGAGGUAGGGGCCUGUGGAACUUCGGGUGGAGCGGUGAAAUGCGUUGAUAUCCGAAGGAACGCCGGUGGCGAAAGCGACGGGCUGGAUCUCUUCUGACGCUGAGGCGCGAAAGCCAGGGUAGCGAACGGGAUUAGAUACCCCCGUAGUCC
Molecule: ribosomal RNA, 431 nt
Filed under: uncultured bacterium
Lineage: Bacteria
Description: bacterial SSU rRNA
Rfam family: Bacterial small subunit ribosomal RNA
Source: RNAcentral